Non-coding RNA from Punica granatum (pomegranate), 2682 nucleotides. The record is from RefSeq and is a predicted model, not a curated record. Lineage: Eukaryota; Viridiplantae; Streptophyta; Magnoliopsida; Myrtales; Lythraceae.
CAUUCUCUCUCUCUCUCUCUCUGUUCUCCCCUCUCUCUGCGAUUUAUCGUGUUUUGCUCAUCUUCGUCUGUACUUAGUUAAUGGAUUCUUUUCGAAUCUCCGGUUUCCGAGGUUUUAGGAGAGUUCUGCUUCCUUUUCUCAUUCCAUUUUUGAUGAUCUAAGCUUUUUUUUUUUUUCCUUCAAGUGAUUGCUGAAAUUUUUCGCUUGAUAUGGAUUUUCUGCACCUUGGUGUAGUAGAAGUAAUUUUGUCAGAGCUGUGAAGCAGUAGACCUGGAUCUUGGGGAAGAAGAUGAAAGAUGAUUAAAUAGCUUAAGAAUGAUAUAGUGGGCAUGAGAAAAGUAAGAUCUUGAGCUAAACACGAACGGAUUGCAUUAGCAGUUGAUCGGAAUCGCGCUGUUUGUUUGAUCUGCUCUUACUAUUCUUGGUCAUUUGAGCUUUGUUUUGUUGAUUUCUUCUUUCAAGGUUGCAAUGCGAGGCCUUAGGUAUUCCUCUUAGGCUUUGUGAUUCAGCUGGCUAACCCUUUCCCGAAAGUUGAAGUGGCUUCUGUUUCGUUUGAGUUCUGUUAUCACGCCAUUUGAUAUGAAUAAUGAUAAGCUUGGUGGAACUUUUAUUAUUGGCAUGGGAAUGGAAGGGAAAGAUGCGACCAAACAGCUUACGGGGAAGGGGUUUGAUCAUUAAGGAUGCCGCAGAUCCAUCGGCCUCAGAUGGACGAGAAGAGAUGUUCGUACAUAUUCGGAAAUGGUGAUUGAGGGGUAGUCAAUGGGCUGGCUACUGAAAGAAAAGGUGAAGGCCAUGCAAUGGGGAGUGCUUGAAGCUGAAACCAGACUUGGGCCAGCUGAGCUGAGCCUUUUGCCACCUCUGCAUUGUAGAUUAAUCAUGGUCAAGGUUCCGCUCCCUCUACAUGAGCCUUUGGUGUCGGAAGUUUCUGCUGGAGCCGGGGAAGUCCCACUGACCAUGUAAAUGCAAAGUGGCAAUAGCAACAAGAAAGCCUCUUUGUAUUUCAGCCAUUUCUUGAGAUCGUCUCUCGGAUCCUGCAUUAUCUACAGUAGUGACUGGUGCGAUAUAUCAAUCCCAGGUUAUAUCCUUAUUUUUUAUUCUUUAGUGAGAAGUUAUUACAUAGUGAUAUUGAGUUUUCAGCACUUGCAGAAUUGAACUGAUGACACGUUUCCCCUGCUUCAAACAAUUAGGAUAAGUAAGAUGAGGGUGCAGUAAAUUCUUGAGGUCUGAAAUCCAUCCGUGCUGAUCUUAGUAGAUAUGCAGAAAUAAAAUAGAGAAGCUUGAUACAUCUUACUACUUUGUGCAAGAAUGAUACUAAUACUCGGAUAUGCAUGACAAACUUCUUUGCUGGUGCUGUUUGAAAACUUCAAUUGCUACGUUUUUGGUAUGUGGUUCACAUCCUAAGACGUUGAUUCACACAGGAUUUCAAGUAUUGCCACGUCAUAUGUAGGACCUGACAACUUGGUCAUUCAUCGUCCUUGAGUCAAAUUUCGGCAGAGCAGUCUUUACUCAUCUGAGAUUUGGGAAGUCCAGUGUUCUAUGGCUAUUACCUCAAUGGAGAAAAUGUUGAGGAAUCGGGAUCCGAUAGUGCCUCUUUAUGUAUGUGUGUGUGUGUGUGUGUGUGUAAGAAUCUAUCGUUCUUUUACUACAAAAGGAUGAGAGAUGGAAGAUCCUCUCUUCUGAAAGAGGAGUGCAUAUAGAAAAGCUUACAGAAUAAACAACUUUAGGAUCCGGUUCCUCUGCAGUUCCGCACGGAACUGAGAUGGGUUUGGUUCAGAUCAAUAGUAGGCAUUACUCCUGCUGUUGAUCCUAUGGCCUGAGAAGAUUUCGAAAUAGAACACGUUUAUUAGAGAGAGUUAGAAAUGUUCUGUUCAGACCAUUCGUGAAUCAGGCUAGUUUGGACUGUAGGCCGGACAUUCUGUGAUCCUGUAUAAGCCAAUCAGGAUUCAUAUCGUAACAUUCUCCGGUUCUCCAAAUAUACCAUGACAGGUUGAAAAAAAAAAUGUCUAUGAGACUAUGACAUUCCCAAAUUAAAUGUAUCGGAAUUGGUGUUUUGAAGGAGAGUUGGUUAUUGCAGUUGAACAAGACCAAGCAGAGCUUAUAAGGUAAGUAAUGCAUGCAAUCAAAGGAUUGGUUUGGUGACAACUUCAUAUUAUUCUAAUGAAUUGUCUUUGACUUGUUUGACACCUCAGAUCUUUACUCUUCGUCCUGCACUAUCUGUGUCUUGUUGCGGGCAAGCUGUUGUUUUCGAUGAUUGAGUCGUUUUUUUCUAUUGAAGGAGGUAAGAAGAUGGUUCAAGUCUAGAUUGUUCGGGAUAUGGAAGGUGCCCUACAAUACGGAAUCUCGUAGUCCAUUGCUAUCUAAGUGGGAAAGGGCCUCUUGCAGCCUGAACGUAUUCCGCACCUUGUUGCAGAAGGCUGAGAGAUAGCAGAAGAAAUGAUGCCUAUAUAGCCUCGAUGGCCUAGAGAUCUGCAUUGAAAUGUUCUCGACUAAUGUGUGCGGGAAGCCUCGAUGCUUUGCAAUAAAUUCAUAGCGGAGAGAUUCCAAAAAGAUGGCGAUGUCAUGUUUAAUCAGAAGAAAUGUACAUGCUUAAGAGCAGAAUUCUUAUGCAAAGUCAGAACGGUAUUUUACAUUGUGGCUUCAUUCCAUUUUUCCAUUUCAUCUCAAUCGUGUUACAUUAUUUCA